Molecule: ribosomal RNA, 253 nt
Filed under: uncultured bacterium
Lineage: Bacteria
Description: partial 16S ribosomal RNA
Rfam family: Bacterial small subunit ribosomal RNA
Source: RNAcentral
UACGUAGGGGGCAAGCGUUGUCCGGAUUUAUUGGGCGUAAAGAGUGUGUAGGCGGUGCUCUAAGUCUGUUGUGAAAUCUCCCGGCUUAACUGGGAGGGUGCGGCGGAGACUGGAGUGCUAGAGUGUGGGAGAGGUAAGCGGAAUUCCUGGUGUAGCGGUGAAAUGCGUAGAUAUCAGGAGGAACACCUGUGGUGUAGACAGCUUACUGGACCACGACUGACGCUGAGACACGAAAGCGUGGGUAGCAAACAGG